Molecule: non-coding RNA, 268 nt
Organism: Salmo salar (Atlantic salmon)
Lineage: Eukaryota; Metazoa; Chordata; Actinopteri; Salmoniformes; Salmonidae
Source: RefSeq, a predicted model, not a curated record
AGGUGUGCUGUCAUGUGCCUUUUUAUAAACUACAGGUGUGCUGUCAUGUGCCUUUUUAUAAACUACAGGUGUGCUGUCGUGUGCCUUUUUAUAAACUACAGGUGUGCUGUCAUGUGCCUUUUUAUAAACUACAAGUGUGCUGUCAGGUGCCUUUUUAUAAACUACAAGUGUGCUGUCAGGUGCCUUUUUAUAAACUACAAGUGUGCUGCCAUAUGCCUUUUUAUAAACUACAGGUGUGCUGUCAUGUGGUGUGCUGUCAUGUGCCUUU